GAUAAUGUCCCCUAUGCCUCCAUCAUUCCUACCAUAAGGGCCAAAAAGACCAAGAAUAAAACCACAAUCCCUGAUGCUGUGAUAUACAGCACUGUGAAUUCUUCCUCUGCUCAGGUGACCUUUGAUCCCAACGGUCUCUACUCUACAAUCAGUAAAUAAGGGUCAUCAGUUGUUGUUUUAAAAGUCAGGUGAAUUAUUUCCAUCUUAAAGAAGCAGUAU
Long non-coding RNA from Cyprinodon tularosa, 219 nucleotides. RefSeq lists it as uncharacterized. The transcript is spliced from 2 exons. The record is from RefSeq and is a predicted model, not a curated record. NCBI's taxonomy places the organism in Eukaryota, Metazoa, Chordata, Actinopteri, Cyprinodontiformes, Cyprinodontidae.